AUUGGGCAUUGGAGCUGCAGGCCACAAGGUGCCUCAGUUCUUUUCCUCAGGCAAGGGAGAAGGAAACCAAGGAAAACAACCCAAGCCAUGAUUGCUAGUCUACUUCCUGAGUGGUGGAACUCACUCAGCCAAUGAGAAGCUAUGUGGAAUGACACAAAGCGGUGGACUUCUUCCCAGCGCUUCUUGUGGGCAAUAUUUUUGGGACGGUUGCUUCCAUUCAAAUUGCAGUUCAAACCUGAUGUAUAGUCACUUCUACUCUCAGGGUCAAAUGAGGCAGAGAGGAAAGCUAAAAAAAAGUCUGGGGUUUAAAUUAGAGUCCGUUUUUAACUUUUCAAAAUGUUCUUGGUAUUUUAGAAUCUGGAUAACCUUCAAUCAGACAAUGCUACAUACCAGACCAAGGAGUAACAGUCUAUAAGAUUAUAAUUGAAACAGCUUCAGAACCACGCAUCGUAUCUUCAGUUGUAUGAACUUAGAGUCUCUUGAUAGCUUUAUUCCAUCACCCAUAAGAUACGGGCUCACUUACUACCAGAUGUGACUGGGCAAUUUUCUUAGGCUUCUCAAGGGUUAAACCGUUGAAUGCUGUCCUGUUAAACAAAACAUUUCUAAGGCUCUCCCCAGGGAUUCUGAGGCAGGGCACCCGGAAUGGGCCUUGAACCUGUGUUCUCAAUAUGAGCUUUGGAAAUGUCGCAGUGACAGAGAAAAUAGCCUUUGCUUUCAGGAGCAGACAGCUCUCGGCUUACAUCCUUGGAUUUUCAUUUCCUGUUCGUGUGGUCCUACACAGAUAACUUGACCUUUCUCAGUUUCAUCUGGAAGAAGCAGCGAUAAGAAAUGUUCUCCUGAAAGUCCUGAGAGGAUCAAAAUGACUCUUUGUAACCCUGAUUUCCUCAGGACUGUUAGGCCACUUCUUCCUGUCUGGGCCGAUCUGAUGAUUAGUGUCAGAAGUACUUAACACAGGAGCAUAACACCUCCUAGUCACCCCUGACACACAUAUGUGGGGUAGUCUGAACAAAUGUUAUCCUUUAAAGGACACAGGGCUGUUGGAGCCCCCAGGAGUACCUCCCUGUUACAGUGGUCUGUCCGUGUGGCACCUCCAGGCCUUUGACAAGGUGUUCCCAGUAACCUCAGCUAACGUCCCUUCACUUUCUGGCUUCCUGCUGUGCCAUUAUACUUAAUUCUACCAGAAAUUCCAUUUUUCUUUCUUUUUCUCUCUCUCUGUGUGUGCAUGUGUGCACAUGCUUGUGUGCAUGUUUGUGCAUGUUUGUGCAUGUGUCCUCUUGCAUGCAGAAACCAGGGAACCACCUCAACUCUUUCCAUAAACACUGCCCACUGUGGUUUUGGAGACAAAGUCUUUGACUUGGCCUGAAAUCCUCCAAGGAGGCUAGGGUGGCUGGGUUAUUAGCCUCAGGGCUCCCUCUGUUUCCACCUCCCCAGUGCUGGAUUCCAAGUGUGCCCCAGCUCUUUUAUGUGGGUGCUGUUGGUAGAUUCAGGUUCUUGUGCUUGGACAGCAAAUGCUUUACUGGAAAGAACAAUUUCCCAGCCUCAGAAAUUCCAGUUUUCUUGAAACCACUCCUGCAUUUAUAUUCUUCUUCAGCAGAAAUAUGCAAUAAAAUGAUUCUACUUGAUUUUCCACAGAAAACGCUCUAACUACUUUGUGCUAUGCAGAUUUCCCUUCCUGGACCUCCAAAUCCUUCAUGAUUAUUUUCCUCCCAUCCUAAUAGAAUUCAAUAGAAUUUUUUAUAACUGCACUUACACUUUCUUUAUAUAUAACUCUUCUUCAAGAGGAUGUAAAACACACGUUAAAGACAAAGCUAUGUGAGAUAUGUUAAAAGAAACUUUAGGAGUUGAAAAUAAAGGUGAAGAAAACAUAGUCUUUUCAUAAAUGAAGUUGUUUAUCAAACACACGUUGUAUAGUUCUUUAUAGUUCUCAGCAGUGAGCUAAAUAUCUAGUUCAGAACCCUCUGGGGUCAAAAGAUAAACUUGAUGAGCCUCAAGCCGAUAACUAGGAAACCUCAAACCUUAAACAUGGUUUUACCUUUCCCACUGACCCAGAAUGUUGGGUUUUCAUCCACAUCAGAAUCAUUAAAGUCAUGAGGCCCGUGCUCUCAUCUGAUGCUGUGGGUGAAAGGACAUGCUGCAGAGGGCAUGGUAGCUGGGCACAGGAGCUGGGCCAAGGACAAGCUGAUGCUCUGGCCCAAAGCAGUAGCCAUGGCAACAGAAGUGAUGGCUGCCCCACUCCCUCCAGCCAUGAUGCCCGUAAGAGGCAUUGGCAGAGGGAGCCAGUUGUGCUUCUGAGCUAGGCUCUUGCCAAGGGAAGCUUAUGUAACUUUUAAGCAUAAUCGCUAGGACAGAAAAUUUGCAAACCUCUUUUAUGUUAUCCUCAAAGAUCCAAAUCCACACAGAGAAGGCAAGUGUCCAGUCGUCCAGGCUGGCCAAGUCCAGGUGUGAGUCCCUCGCACAGGCAACCUGUAGCCUGCCUCAGAUUCCCCCUCUUCCUCUCUACUUCUGAGUAACAGUGCUGCCCAGGAGGAAGGAGCCCAAAGGAGGAUGUGUGCUUUUGGAAGCACCAUUCACUUCAAACAAACCUUCACUUCUCAAAGAGAUGAAGCCCGCAUAGGGAUAACAACACCCGCUGGGUCCUGGAGAUGCAAGGUGGCUUUUGAUUCAGACACUGACUGAUGAGUUUUCUGAAUGAAGGAGACAACAAGAACAAAGGAGCAGGGCCACUGGGAAGGCAAGGGACUGGAAGAGGAUGGGCUUGAAAGCAGGUAACACAAAGCUGCCCUUGCUGCUGGGAUGGUCAUGUGACUAGGACCUGACUUCAGCCAAAGUUCAGCGAGGAAAUGAAAUGAGAACUGACGAGGCAUCUAUCAGCCUUCAGGAACUCCAGCCCCAGAAAGACUUACAUGGUCACGAGCCAGUGUUCCACUGAGUUCUAGUCCAGUGACUUUGGGACUCUGAAUGAGCCUUG
Mus musculus (house mouse) is the source of this 2968-nucleotide long non-coding RNA. RefSeq annotates it as predicted gene, 32017. NCBI's taxonomy places the organism in Eukaryota, Metazoa, Chordata, Mammalia, Rodentia, Muridae. The record is from RefSeq and is a predicted model, not a curated record. The transcript is spliced from 3 exons.